AAGAUUUGUUUUAACAGAUUAAUAUAAUAAAUAGACUUUGAGGUAGCUUUCAGAUGAAGGCAGAAUAUAUAGCAAAUUUAUCUCAGAUAUAAAAUUGCACCUUUCAUAUAUGUUGAAACUACCAUGAGUUUACUUAAUAAUCUGAGAGGUUUUGAACAGCUCAUUAAAAUUUCUCUCCUCCAUCUAUUUGAUUCAUUAUCUCAGAUAUGUCUCCAGCACUGACUACUUGGACUCCAUAUUACUUUGCACUUCUAAGCUACUGUGAUUCCAAUUCUACAGGAACAAGACUGAGACGCCUGCACAAAAAUAACGUGUGAGAUCUGCUAUGUAUCUCCAUCUAUGUAGAGGUAGAAAGUGAUACAGGUCCAGCAGAAGAAGACUGUGAGUGCUGGUGAUCACUCAUUCGUAUGGAAGUGCUGUUGGCAGCUCUGCAGAAGAGGCAGCCUAGUUUUGGAGAUUUUUUCCUCCUUUACCUGGGAUUUAGUGUUUUGAAUCAAAUCAGACUGCGCUACUUCUAUCAAUAUAGAGAAGAGAUAAAAACAUUCUGACUGACUGAAUCCUGGCUGAGAUCAGGUACAAAGAGAUAAGAAACAUUCUUAACAUAGUGGAUGAGAGUGUUCUGGAUAUAAAUUUUUUUUUUGGAUAUAAGGGUUUUUUUUAUUUUGGGGUCACAAAUUCUUUUUGAUAUUGAACAGAAUCUCCUAAUAAAUGUCAAGAAAUCACAUGGCUGCCA
Molecule: long non-coding RNA, 733 nt
Filed under: Zonotrichia albicollis (white-throated sparrow)
Lineage: Eukaryota; Metazoa; Chordata; Aves; Passeriformes; Passerellidae
Description: lncRNA (ENSZALG00000009918.1)
Source: RNAcentral